GGCCGGCGAUGCGUCCUGGUCGGA
RNAcentral lists this non-coding RNA (24 nucleotides) under Arabidopsis thaliana (thale cress). Lineage: Eukaryota; Viridiplantae; Streptophyta; Magnoliopsida; Brassicales; Brassicaceae. The record is from RNAcentral.